This 467-nucleotide ribosomal RNA is filed under the name uncultured bacterium. Its description in RNAcentral is "partial 16S ribosomal RNA". It matches the Rfam family "Bacterial small subunit ribosomal RNA", at positions 29 to 507 of the family's 1533-position model. The record is from RNAcentral.
ACGAACGCUGGCGGCGUGCUUAACACCUGCCAGUCGAACGGAAAGGCCUUGCUUUUGUGGGGUGCUCGAGUGGCGAACGGGUGAGUAACACGUGAGUAACCUGCCCUUGACUUUGGGAUAACUUCAGGAAACUGGGGCUAAUACCGGAUAGGAGCUCCUGCUGCAUGGUGGGGGUUGGAAAGUUUCGGCGGUUGGGGAUGGACUCGCGGCUUAUCAGCUUGUUGGUGGGGUAGUGGCUUACCAAGGCUUUGACGGGUAGCCGGCCUGAGAGGGUGACCGGCCACAUUGGGACUGAGAUACGGCCCAGACUCCUACGGGAGGCAGCAGUGGGGAAUAUUGCACAAUGGGCGGAAGCCUGAUGCAGCAACGCCGCGUGCGGGAUGACGGCCUUCGGGUUGUAAACCGCUUUCGCCUGUGACGAAGCGUGAGUGACGGUAAUGGGUAAAGAAGCACCGGCUAACUACGUG